AACUUUUUGUCUUUUUUCCAUGGAUAUGCCAUGCAGUGUUUGAUUUUGAAUUUGUUAUUAUUUGACGUUAUAAAUUCUGUUGUGAUGACAGGAUAACGCAUCCUGCCCCUGGGAUCCCUGAACAGUUGAUACAAGAAAUGUUUUACCAUAACAAUGGUGUUUCAAGAGAAGGUCUUGGCCUGUAUAUCAGCCAGAAACUAGUGAACAUCAUGAAUGGGACUGUACAAUAUCUUAGAGAGGCCGAGGGAUCAUCUUUCAUUAUUCUAGUAGAAUUUCCAUUUGCUCGCCAACCACCCGCAGAUGAAAUUGGUCUAAAACUAAAAUAGGCAAAAAUAGAUUGAGGAAGUGAGAGAUGUUUUCUAGCUCGAAGAUUUUACAAUGACUGUUCAAGUGGAUAGAGUCCUUAUUGGGAAAUUGAGACUCUAGUGGCUUCUGCAUUCUAUACCAUUUCUGCUAGUCAAGUUCAAAGGAAUUGUCUAUUUCGUUGAAAUUGAGCAGUGGAUUGAACUUUUUCUGGGCAUGACGUUAAUGAGUGAUUCGUAACUUUCAGUGAUUAACUUGUUGAGGACAGAGUUCGUUUGUCAAAGUCCAAGACGAGUUGAUGCCGGACUUGGAAUUGAAGGCAUUGAAGCAGUAAAAAUGUAGUUUGGUUGUCAUCCCUGGAAAGAAGUUCAACUAAACAAGUCUCGUAUUGAGAUUGAGCAGUGACUGAAUUUGUUGCCAGCCAUGCAGCGUAUGGGAAUUCAUUUGUUCAGAAUUGAGUGUCCAUUAAUGAAGAGCCCAAGUUGAUAGUCUACAUUGGAAUUGGAGCAGUAAAAUGUAUUGGAGUUCCAUCCUUGUUUAAAGAUUCACCUCCGAUUUUGUCAAUUUCAAAUUUUUUUCCACUUUCUGCAUAACUGUCUCGUAAAUUAUAUGUGCUGCAAGAUUUUUGCCCAACAAGUGGCCAGGUGCUAAUUGCUGUUCAUUUAUGGUAAAAAAUGCACACAGUCCAUUUUGGUCUGUGUGUUUGGACAAAACUUGCAGAAAUUUUGUAGUUCUAAUAUUUUUUUAUCAAUUUCUACAAGGUCUAUUUCAUUUGGUUUGGACAAUUGACCAAUUCAGUCGAAAUUAGACCACUCUUACAGGAAGGUUCCUUUUAACUGC
RNAcentral lists this long non-coding RNA (1143 nucleotides) under Olea europaea subsp. europaea. Lineage: Eukaryota; Viridiplantae; Streptophyta; Magnoliopsida; Lamiales; Oleaceae. The record is from RNAcentral.